UACGAAGGGUGCAAGCGUUAAUCGGAAUUACUGGGCGUAAAGGGUGCGUAGGCGGUUUGGUCAGUCGGAUGUGAAAGCCCUGGGCUCAACCUGGGAACUGCAUCUGAUACUGCCGAGCUUAGAGUCUAGGAGAGGGUGGUGGAAUUCCCGGUGUAGCGGUGAAAUGCGUAGAGAUCGGGAGGAACAUUCGUGGCGAAGGCGGCCACCUGGCCUAAGACUGACGCUGAGGCACGAAAGCGUGGGGAGCAAACAGG
This 254-nucleotide ribosomal RNA is filed under the name uncultured bacterium. Its description in RNAcentral is "partial 16S ribosomal RNA". It matches the Rfam family "Bacterial small subunit ribosomal RNA", at positions 524 to 776 of the family's 1533-position model. The record is from RNAcentral.